UGCCAGCAGCCGCGGUAAUACGGAGAGGGCAAGCGUUGUUCGGAAUCACUGGGCAUAAAGCGCACGUAGGCGGAUUGGAAAGUCGGUUGUGAAAUCCCGGGGCUUAACCCCGGAACUGCUUCCGAAACUGCCAGUCUGGAGGAUGAUAGGGGAGAGUGGAACUUCUGGUGGAGCGGUGAAAUGCGUAGAUAUCAGAAGGAACACCGGUGGCGAAAGCGACCUUCUGGGGUGCUUGUGACGCUGAGGCGCGAAAGCUAGGGGAGCGAACGGGAUUAGAUA
Molecule: ribosomal RNA, 279 nt
Filed under: uncultured bacterium
Lineage: Bacteria
Description: partial 16S ribosomal RNA
Rfam family: Bacterial small subunit ribosomal RNA
Source: RNAcentral